This is a long non-coding RNA of Salvelinus fontinalis (brook trout), 2455 nucleotides long. RefSeq lists it as uncharacterized. Lineage: Eukaryota; Metazoa; Chordata; Actinopteri; Salmoniformes; Salmonidae. The record is from RefSeq and is a predicted model, not a curated record. The transcript has 3 exons.
UCUCUCUAGGUCUGUAUAACAGUAUGUAUCUCUAGGUCUCUAUAACAGUCUGUAUCUCUCUCUAGGUCUGUAUAACAGUCUGUAUCUCUAGGUCUGUAUAACAGUAUGUAUCUCUCUCUAGGUCUGUAUAACAGUAUAUAUCUCUCUAGGUCUGUAUAACAGUAUGUAUCUCUAGGUCUCUAUAACAGUAUGUAUCUCUAGGUCUCUAUAACAGUAUGUAUCUCUCUCUAGGUCUGUAUAACAGUAUGUAUCUCUAGGUCUGUAUAACAGUAUGUAUCUCUAGGUCUCUAUAACAGUAUGUAUCUCUAGGUCUGUAUAACAGUAUGUAUCUCUAGGUCUGUAUAACAGUAUGUAUCUCUCUAGGUCUGUAUAACAGUAUGUAUCUCUAGGUCUCUAUAACAGUAUGUAUCUCCAGGUCUGUAUAACAGUAUGUAUCUCUAGGUCUCUAUAACAGUAUGUAUCUCUAGGUCUCUAUAACAGUAUGUAUCUCUAGGUCUCUAUAACAGUAUGUAUCUCUAGGUCUGUAUAACAGUAUGUAUCUCUAGGUCUCUAUAACAGUAUGUAUCUCUAGGUCUGUAUAACACUAUGUAUCUCUAGGUCUGUAUAACAGUAUGUAUCUCUCUAGGUCUCUAUAACAGUAUGUAUUUCUAGGUCUCUAUAACAGUAUGUAUCUCUUGGUCUCUAUAACAGUAUGUAUCUCUCUGCAGGUCUGUAUAACAGUAUUUUUCUGCAGGUCUGUAUAACAGUAUCUCUCUCUAGGUCUGUAUAACAGUAUGUAUCUCUCUAGGUCUCUAUAACAGUAUGUUUCUCCAGGUCUGUAUGACAGUCUGUAUCUCUAGGUCUGUAUAACAGUCUGUAUCUCUCUAGGUCUGUAUAACAGUAUGUAUCUCUAGGUCUGUAUAACAGUAUGUAUCUCUAGGUCUGUAUAACAGUAUGUAUCUCUCUCUAGGUCUCUAUAACAGUAUGUAUCUCUCCAGGUCUGUAUAACAGUAUGUAUCUCUCUAGGUCUGUAUAACAGUAUGUAUCUCUAGGUCUCUAUAACAGUAUGUAUCUCUAGGUCUGUAUAACAGUAUGUAUCUCUAGGUCUGUAUAACAGUAUGUAUCUCUAGGUCUGUAUAACAGUAUGUAUCUCUCUAGGUCUGUAUAACAGUAUGUAUCUCUAGGUCUGUAUAACAGUAUGUAUCUCUAGGUCUCUAUAACAGCAUGUAUCUCUCUAGGUCUGUAUAACAGUAUGUAUCUCUCUAGGUCUGUAUAACAGUAUGUAUCUCUAGGUCUCUAUAACAGUAUGUAUCUCUCUCUAGGUCUGUAUAACAGUAUGUAUCUCUCUAGGUCUGUAUAACAGUAUGUAUCUCUAGGUCUGUAUAACAGUAUGUAUCUCUCUAGGUCUGUAUAACAGUAUGUAUCUCUCUAGGUCUGUAUAACAGUAUGUAUCUCUCUAGGUCUGUAUAACAGUAUGUAUCUCUCUAGGUCUGUAUAACAGUAUAUAUCUCUCUCUAGGUCUGUAUAACAGUAUGUAUCUCUCUAGGUCUGUAUAACAGUAUGUAUCUCUAGGUCUCUAUAACAGUAUGUAUCUCUCUAGGUCUCUAUAACAGUAUGUAUCUCUAGGUCUGUAUAACAGUAUGUAUCUCUAGGUCUGUAUAACAGUAUGUAUCUCUCUAGGUCUGUAUAACAGUAUGUAUCUCCAGGUCUGUAUAACAGUAUAUAUCUCCAGGUCUGUAUAACAGUAUGUAUCUCCAGGUCUCUAUAACAGUAUGUAUCUCCAGGUCUCUAUAACAGUAUGUAUCUCUCUAGGUCUGUAUAACAGUAUGUAUCUCUAGGUCUGUAUAACAGUAUCUCUAUCUAGGUCUGUAUAACAGUAUGUAUCUCUCUAGGUCUCUAUAACAGUAUGUAUCUCCAGGUCUGUAUGACAGUCUGUAUCUCUAGGUCUGUAUAACAGUAUGUAUCUCUCUAGGUCUGUAUAACAGUAUGUAUCUCUAGGUCUGUAUAACAGUAUGUAUCUCCAGGUCUGUAUAACAGUAUGUAUCUCUAGGUCUCUAUUACAGUAUGUAUCUCUCUAGGUCUGUAUAACAGUAUGUAUCUCUCUAGGUCUGUAUAACAGUAUGUAUCUCCAGGUCUAUAUAACAGUCUGUAUCUCCAGGUCUAUAUAACAGUCUGUAUCUCCAGGUCUGUAUAACAGUAUGUAUCUCUAGGUCUCUAUAACAGUAUGUAUCUCUAGGUCUCUAUAACACUAUGUAUCUCUCUCUAGGUCUGUAUAACAGUAUGUAUCUCUAGGUCUCUAUAACAGUAUGUAUCUCUAGGUCUCUAUAACAGUAUGUAUCUCUAGGUCUCUAUAACAGUAUGUAUCUCUAGGUCUCUAUAACAGUAUGUAUCUCUCUAGGUCUGUAUAACAGUAUGUAUCUCUAGGUCUGUAUAACAGUCUGUAUCUCUCUAGGUCUGUAUAACAGUAUAUAUCUCU